RNAcentral lists this ribosomal RNA (390 nucleotides) under uncultured bacterium. RNAcentral describes it as "bacterial SSU rRNA". It matches the Rfam family "Bacterial small subunit ribosomal RNA", at positions 28 to 415 of the family's 1533-position model. The record is from RNAcentral.
GAUGAACGCUAGCGGCAGGCUUAAUACAUGCAAGUCGUGGGGCAGCAUGAGUAGCAAUACUUGAUGGCGACCGGCAAACGGGUGCGGAACACGUACACAACCUUCCUUCAAGCGGGGAAUAGCCCAGAGAAAUUUGGAUUAAUACCCCAUAAAAUAUAAAAAUGGCAUCAUUUAUAUAUUAAAGCUUCGGCACUUGAUGAUGGGUGCGCGGCUGAUUAGAUAGUUGGCGAGGUAACGGCUCACCAAGUCUACGAUCAGUAGCUGAUGUGAGAGCAUGAUCAGCCACACGGGCACUGAGACACGGGCCCGACUCCUACGGGAGGCAGCAGUAAGGAAUAUUGGACAAUGGACGAAAGUCUGAUCCAGCCAUGCCGCGUGAAGGAUUAAGGU